Molecule: transfer RNA, 87 nt
Filed under: Bradyrhizobium sp.
Lineage: Bacteria; Pseudomonadati; Pseudomonadota; Alphaproteobacteria; Hyphomicrobiales; Nitrobacteraceae
Also listed under: 26 other names
Description: tRNA-Leu
Rfam family: tRNA
About the family: Transfer RNA (tRNA) molecules are approximately 80 nucleotides in length.
Source: RNAcentral
GCGGACGUGGCGGAACUGGUAGACGCAAGGGACUUAAAAUCCCUCGACGGCAACGUCAUGUGGGUUCGAGUCCCACCGCCCGCACCA